Molecule: small nucleolar RNA, 78 nt
Filed under: Plasmodium ovale (malaria parasite P. ovale)
Lineage: Eukaryota; Apicomplexa; Aconoidasida; Haemosporida; Plasmodiidae
Also listed under: 1 other name
Description: PowCR01_130031900
Rfam family: small nucleolar RNA snoR28
Source: RNAcentral
AUUAUAAUGAUGAAAAACUUCAGGAAGUGCCGUCUGAGUUUGCAUGUUGACGAUAAUGAAAUGCUCUGAACAUAAUUA